AGAGUUUGAUCCUGGCUCAGGAUGAACGCUAGCUACAGGCUUAACACAUGCAAGUCGAGGGGAAACGACAUCGAAAGCUUGCUUUUGAUGGGCGUCGACCGGCGCACGGGUGAGUAACGCGUAUCCAACCUGCCCAUCACUUGGGGAUAACCUUGCGAAAGUAAGACUAAAUACCCAAUGAUAUCUCUAGAAGACAUCUGAAAGAGAUUAAAGAUUUAUCGGUGAUGGAUGGGGAUGCGUCUGAUUAGCUUGUUGGCGGGGUAACGGCCCACCAAGGCUACGAUCAGUAGGGGUUCUGAGAGGAAGGUCCCCCANAUUGGAACUGAGACACGGUCCAACUCCUACGGGAGCA
This 352-nucleotide ribosomal RNA is filed under the name uncultured bacterium. Its description in RNAcentral is "bacterial SSU rRNA". It matches the Rfam family "Bacterial small subunit ribosomal RNA", at positions 8 to 349 of the family's 1533-position model. The record is from RNAcentral.